Molecule: ribosomal RNA, 547 nt
Filed under: uncultured bacterium
Lineage: Bacteria
Description: bacterial SSU rRNA
Rfam family: Bacterial small subunit ribosomal RNA
Source: RNAcentral
UGGGGAAUAUUGCGCAAUGGGGGGAACCCUGACGCAGCCAUGCCGCGUGAAUGAAGAAGGCCUUCGGGUUGUAAAGUUCUUUCGGUAUUGAGGAAGGUUGAUGUGUUAAUAGCACAUCAAAUUGACGUUAAAUACAGAAGAAGCACCGGCUAACUCCGUGCCAGCAGCCGCGGUAAUACGGAGGGUGCGAGCGUUAAUCGGAAUAACUGGGCGUAAAGGGCACGCAGGCGGUUAUUUAAGUGAGGUGUGAAAGCCCUGGGCUUAACCUAGGAAUUGCAUUUCAGACUGGGUAACUGGAGUACUUUAGGGAGGGGUAGAAUUCCACGUGUAGCGGUGAAAUGCGUAGAGAUGUGGAGGAAUACCGAAGGCGAAGGCAGCCCCUUGGGAAUGUACUGACGCUCAUGUGCGAAAGCGUGGGGAGCAAACAGGAUUAGAUACCCUGGUAGUCCACGCUGUAAACGCUGUCGAUUUGGGGGUUGGGGUUUAACUCUGGCGCCCGUAGCUAACGUGAUAAAUCGACCGCCUGGGGAGUACGGCCGCAAGGUUA